RNAcentral lists this ribosomal RNA (253 nucleotides) under uncultured bacterium. Its description in RNAcentral is "partial 16S ribosomal RNA". It matches the Rfam family "Bacterial small subunit ribosomal RNA", at positions 524 to 776 of the family's 1533-position model. The record is from RNAcentral.
UACGUAGGGCGCAAGCGUUAUCCGGAAUUAUUGGGCGUAAAGAGCUCGUAGGCGGUUUGUCGCGUCUGCCGUGAAAGUCCGGGGCUCAACUCCGGAUCUGCGGUGGGUACGGGCAGACUAGAGUGAUGUAGGGGAGACUGGAAUUCCUGGUGUAGCGGUGAAAUGCGCAGAUAUCAGGAGGAACACCUAUGGCGAAGGCAGCUCUCUGGUACGAGACUGACGCUGAGACGCGAAAGCGUGGGGAGCGAACAGG